This 1481-nucleotide ribosomal RNA is filed under the name Microbacterium arborescens. RNAcentral's name for it is "bacterial SSU rRNA". It matches the Rfam family "Bacterial small subunit ribosomal RNA". The record is from RNAcentral. Lineage: Bacteria; Bacillati; Actinomycetota; Actinomycetes; Micrococcales; Microbacteriaceae.
AGAGUUUGAUCCUGGCUCAGGAUGAACGCUGGCGGCGUGCUUAACACAUGCAAGUCGAACGGUGAAGCAGAGCUUGCUCUGUGGAUCAGUGGCGAACGGGUGAGUAACACGUGAGCAAUCUGCCCCUGACUCUGGGAUAAGCGCUGGAAACGGCGUCUAAUACCGGAUACGAGCUGCGACCGCAUGGUCAGUAGCUGGAAAGAAUUUCGGUCAGGGAUGAGCUCGCGGCCUAUCAGCUUGUUGGUGAGGUAAUGGCUCACCAAGGCGUCGACGGGUAGCCGGCCUGAGAGGGUGACCGGCCACACUGGGACUGAGACACGGCCCAGACUCCUACGGGAGGCAGCAGUGGGGAAUAUUGCACAAUGGGCGCAAGCCUGAUGCAGCAACGCCGCGUGAGGGAUGACGGCCUUCGGGUUGUAAACCUCUUUUAGCAGGGAAGAAGCGAAAGUGACGGUACCUGCAGAAAAAGCGCCGGCUAACUACGUGCCAGCAGCCGCGGUAAUACGUAGGGCGCAAGCGUUAUCCGGAAUUAUUGGGCGUAAAGAGCUCGUAGGCGGUCUGUCGCGUCUGCUGUGAAAACCCGAGGCUCAACCUCGGGCCUGCAGUGGGUACGGGCAGACUAGAGUGCGGUAGGGGAGAUUGGAAUUCCUGGUGUAGCGGUGGAAUGCGCAGAUAUCAGGAGGAACACCGAUGGCGAAGGCAGAUCUCUGGGCCGUAACUGACGCUGAGGAGCGAAAGGGUGGGGAGCAAACAGGCUUAGAUACCCUGGUAGUCCACCCCGUAAACGUUGGGAACUAGUUGUGGGGUCCAUUCCACGGAUUCCGUGACGCAGCUAACGCAUUAAGUUCCCCGCCUGGGGAGUACGGCCGCAAGGCUAAAACUCAAAGGAAUUGACGGGGACCCGCACAAGCGGCGGAGCAUACGGAUUAAUUCGAUGCAAGGCGAAAGAUCUUACCAAGGCUUGACAUAUAGAGGAAACGUCUGGAAACAGUCGCCCCGCAAGGUCUCUAUACAGGUGGUGCAUGGUUGUCGUCAGCUCGUGUCGUGAGAUGUUGGGUUAAGUCCCGCAACGAGCGCAACCCUCGUUCUAUGUUGCCAGCACGUAAUGGUGGGAACUCAUGGGAUACUCCCGGGGUCAACUCGGAGGAAGGUGGGGAUGACGUCAAAUCAUCAUGCCCCUUAUGUCUUGGGCUUCACGCAUGCUACAAUGGCCGGUACAAAGGGCUGCAAUACCGUGAGGUGGAGCGAAUCCCAAAAAGCCGGUCCCAGUUCGGAUUGAGGUCUGCAACUCGACCUCAUGAAGUCGGAGUCGCUAGUAAUCGCAGAUCAGCAACGCUGCGGUGAAUACGUUCCCGGGUCUUGUACACACCGCCCGUCAAGUCAUGAAAGUCGGUAACACCUGAAGCCGGUGGCCCAACCCUUGUGGAGGGAGCCGUCGAGGGUGGGAUCGGUAAUUAGGACUAAGUCGUAACAAGGUAGCC